This 502-nucleotide ribosomal RNA is filed under the name uncultured bacterium. RNAcentral describes it as "partial 16S ribosomal RNA". It matches the Rfam family "Bacterial small subunit ribosomal RNA", at positions 29 to 523 of the family's 1533-position model. The record is from RNAcentral.
AUUGAACGCUGGCGGAAUGCUUUACACAUGCAAGUCGAACGGCAGCACGGGUGCUUGCACCUGGUGGCGAGUGGCGAACGGGUGAGUAAUACAUCGGAAUGUACCCAGUCGUGGGGGAUAACGUAGCGAAAGUUACGCUAAUACCGCAUACGUCCUGAGGGAGAAAGCGGGGGACGGUAAGGCCUCACGCGAUUGGAGGGGCCGAUGGCGGAUUAGCUAGUUGGUGGGGUAAAGGCCUACCAAGGCGACGAUCCGUAGCGGGUCUGAGAGGACAGCCCGCCACACUGGAACUGAGACACGGUCCAGACUCCUACGGGAGGCAGCAGUGGGGAAUUUUGGACAAUGGGCGAAAGCCCGAUCCAACCAUUCCGCGUGAGUGAAGAAGGCCUUCGGGUUGUAAAGCUCUUUCGGCAGGGAAGAAACGGCUUGGGAUAAUACCCCGGGCUAAUGACGGUACCUGAAGAAGAAGCACCGGCUAACUACGUGCCAGCCGCCGCCGUAA